CCUACGGGAGGCAGCAGUGGGGAAUUUUGGACAAUGGGCGAAAGCCUGAUCCAGCAAUGCCGCGUGCAGGAAGAAGGCCUUCGGGUUGUAAACUGCUUUUGUACGGAACGAAACGGUCUGCUUUAAUACAGUGGGCUAAUGACGGUACCGUAAGAAUAAGCACCGGCUAACUACGUGCCAGCAGCCGCGGUAAUACGUAGGGUGCGAGCGUUAAUCGGAAUUACUGGGCGUAAAGCGUGCGCAGGCGGUUAUAUAAGACAGUUGUGAAAUCCCCGGGCUCAACCUGGGAAUUGCAUCUGUGACUGUAUAGCUAGAGUACGGUAGAGGGGGAUGGAAUUCCGCGUGUAGCAGUGAAAUGCGUAGAUAUGCGGAGGAACACCGAUGGCGAAGGCAAUCCCCUGGACCUGUACUGACGCUCAUGCACGAAAGCGUGGGGAGCAAACAGGAUUAGAUACCCUGGUAGUCCACGCCCUAAACGAUGUCAACUGGUUGUUGGGUGCAUUAGUACUCAGUAACGAAGCUAACGCGUGAAGUUGACCGCCUGGGGAGGUACGGCCGCGAGUAGAACGUACGAAAGAAAGUUAGACGGCGUGAGACGUGCCGACGGACGACGACGAGGGAGGAGG
This 626-nucleotide ribosomal RNA is filed under the name uncultured bacterium. RNAcentral describes it as "bacterial SSU rRNA". The stretch from base 1 to 542 matches the Rfam family "Bacterial small subunit ribosomal RNA", at positions 338 to 873 of the family's 1533-position model. The record is from RNAcentral.